GACGAACGCUGGCGGCGUGCUUAACACAUGCAAGUCGAACGGAGAAGCUCCAGCUUGCUGGCGUGGAUCAGUGGCGAACGGGGGAGUAACACGUGAGCAAACUGCCCCUGACUCUGGAAGAAGCGCUGGAAACGGCGGCGAAUACUGGAUACGAGAAGGGUCCGCAUGGGCACCUUCUGGAAAGUUGUGCUGUUGGGUAUGGUCUCGCGGCCUAUCAGCUUGAUGGGGAAGUAAGCGCGCACCAGGGCGACGACGGCUAGCCGGCCUUAGAGCGCGACCGGCCACACUGCGCCUGCGGCACGGCGCAGACUCCUACGGGAGGCAGCAGUGGGGAAUUUUGCACAAUGGGCGCAAGCCUGAUGCAGCGGCGCCGCGUGCGGGAUGACGGCCUUCGGGUUAAAAACCACUUUCUGCAGGGCAGAAGCGAACGUGACGGUACCUGAAGAAGAAGCACCGGCUAACUACGUG
RNAcentral lists this ribosomal RNA (468 nucleotides) under uncultured bacterium. Its description in RNAcentral is "partial 16S ribosomal RNA". It matches the Rfam family "Bacterial small subunit ribosomal RNA", at positions 28 to 507 of the family's 1533-position model. The record is from RNAcentral.